UUCCAGCCAUGUGGGAGGCGCAGCGCACAGCUCAGUAACACGUGGCUAACCUGCCCUUAGGACGAGGCUAACCCCGGGAAACUGGGGAUAAUCCUCGAUAGGUGAAGAACUCUGGAAUGAGUCUUUGCUUAAAAGGCGUUGGAUCAUGCUUUCAGCGCCGCCUAAGGAUGGGGCCGCGACCGAUCAGGUUGUUGGUGAGGUAAUGGCCCACCAAGCCUUUUACCGGUGCGGGCCGUGAGAGCGGGAGCCCGGAGAUGGGCACUGAGACAAGGGCCCAGGUCCUACGGGGCGCAGCAGUCGCGAAAACUUUGCAAUACACGAAAGUGUGACAGGGUCAUCCCGAGUGCCGACCGCUGAGGUUGGCUUUUACCCAGUCUAGAAAGCUGGGGGAAUAAGGAGAGGGCAAGUCUGGUGUCAGCCGCCGCGGUAAUACCAGCUCUCCGAGUGGUGUGGACGUUUAUUGGGCCUAAAGCAUCCGUAGCUGGCUGAACAAGUCCCCUGUUAAACCCACCGAUUUAAUCGUUGGUCUGCGGGGGAUACUGCUCGGCUAGGGGACGAGAGAGGCAGACGGUAUUCCCGGGGUAGGGGUGAAAUCCUAUAAUCCCGAGAAGACCACCAGUGGCGAAGGCUGUCUGCUAGAACGCGCCCGACGGUGAGGGAUGAAAGCUGGGGGAGCGAACCGGAUUAGAUACCCGGGUAGUCCCAGCUGUAAACGAUGCAGACUAGGUGUUUGGACGGCCACGUGCCGUUCUAGUGCCGCAGGGAAGCUGUUAAGUCUGCCGCCUGGGGAGUACGAUCGCAAGAUUGAAACUUAA
RNAcentral lists this ribosomal RNA (815 nucleotides) under uncultured crenarchaeote. Its description in RNAcentral is "bacterial SSU rRNA". It matches the Rfam family "Archaeal small subunit ribosomal RNA", at positions 59 to 859 of the family's 1478-position model. The record is from RNAcentral. Lineage: Archaea; Thermoproteati; Thermoproteota.